UGGGGAAUUUUGGACAAUGGGCGAAAGCCUGAUCCAGCAAUGCCGCGUGUGUGAAGAAGGCCUUCGGGUUGUAAAGCACUUUUGUCCGGAAAGAAAUCCUUGGCUCUAAUACAGUCGGGGGAUACGGUACCGGAAGAAUAAGCACCGGCUAACUACGUGCCAGCAGCCGCGGUAAUACGUAGGGUGCAAGCGUUAAUCGGAAUUACUGGGCGUAAAGCGUGCGCAGGCGGUUUGCUAAGACCGAUGUGAAAUCCCCGGGCUCAACCUGGGAACUGCAUUGGUGACUGGCAGGCUAGAGUAUGGCAGAGGGGGGUAGAAUUCCACGUGUAGCAGUGAAAUGCGUAGAGAUGUGGAGGAAUACCGAUGGCGAAGGCAGCCCCCUGGGCCAAUACUGACGCUCAUGCACGAAAGCGUGGGGAGCAAACGGGAUUAGAUACCCUGGUAGUCCACGCCCU
RNAcentral lists this ribosomal RNA (455 nucleotides) under uncultured bacterium. Its description in RNAcentral is "partial 16S ribosomal RNA". It matches the Rfam family "Bacterial small subunit ribosomal RNA", at positions 355 to 803 of the family's 1533-position model. The record is from RNAcentral.